This 404-nucleotide ribosomal RNA is filed under the name uncultured prokaryote. Its description in RNAcentral is "bacterial SSU rRNA". It matches the Rfam family "Bacterial small subunit ribosomal RNA", at positions 355 to 774 of the family's 1533-position model. The record is from RNAcentral.
UGGGGAAUAUUGCGCAAUGGGGGAAACCCUGACGCAGCAAUACCGCGUGAGUGAAGAAGGUUUUCGGAUCGUAAAGCUCUGUUAUUGGGGAAGAAAAAAAGACGGUACCCAAGAAGAAAGUCCCGGCUAACUACGUGCCAGCAGCCGCGGUAAUACGUAGGGGACAAGCGUUGUCCGGAUUUACUGGGCGUAAAGGGCCCGCAGGCGGUUUUUUAAGUCAGAUGUGAAAGGUAACGGCUCAACCGGUGACAUGCAUUUGAAACUGAAAGACUUGAGUAUUGGAGAGGCAAGUGGAAUUCCUAGUGUAGCGGUGAAAUGCGUAGAUAUUAGGAGGAACACCGGUGGCGAAGGCGGCUUGCUGGACAAAUACUGACGCUGAGGUACGAAAGCGUGGGGAGCAAACA